Molecule: ribosomal RNA, 267 nt
Filed under: uncultured soil bacterium
Lineage: Bacteria
Description: partial 16S ribosomal RNA
Rfam family: Bacterial small subunit ribosomal RNA
Source: RNAcentral
AGAAUCAACGCUGGCGGCGUGCCUAACACAUGCAAGUCGAGCGCGAAAGGGGAGCAAUCCCCAAGUAGAGCGGCGAACGGGUGAGUAACGCGUGGGUAAUCUACCUCCGAGUGGGAACAACAGCGGGAAACUGCUGCUAAUACCGCAUGACAUCGUCGAGCCUUUCGGGUUUGACGAUCAAAGCCGGGACGCAAGGCCUGGCGCUUGGAGAGGACGCCCGCGUCCGAUUAGCUAGUGGCGGGUACGCCACCAAGGCUCCGAUCGGUA